Molecule: long non-coding RNA, 627 nt
Filed under: Marmota monax (woodchuck)
Lineage: Eukaryota; Metazoa; Chordata; Mammalia; Rodentia; Sciuridae
Source: RNAcentral
GAGAGAGAGAGAGAGAGAGAGAGAGAGAAUCCUUAGGAAAGAGAAGAAUGGUGCACCCCUCCUGCCCUAUAGUUUUAUUGGAGGUCUCACAGAAGUUUCCAGAGAGCUCUGCCCAGGUCUACCUCUUGACUUUUGACUGACAGCAGGAUUGCAUCAGACUUCCAAGUCCCCACUGUGCAUGAUAAGAGAGUCAAGGUAGGGCUGGGGCUGGGGCUUAGUGUGAGCCCUGGGUUGUGUGAGACACUGGGUUCCAUUCUCAGCAUUAUGUAUAAAUACAAUAAAGGUCUAUCAACAACUUAAAAAAAAAAAAAGAUUCAAGGUAACUCUUGAUCACUUUGGCCCACACUGACUGGUUCUAAUUGGAACUUAGAUCUUACAGUUAGGGGCUUUCUUCUAUCAUAUAUCCCUGAGUUCUAGAAUCUGGUCUGUGUAAAGGUCACAAAAGCCCCUUCUCCUUCAGGGUAACUUGUGUUCUUAUCAGGGAAGAAAGAGCAUUUUGGGCCUGCAUUUCAUCUGCAUAAUAGGUUGUUUGCUGAGGAAUUUAGCAUAUCCUAUUGACUUAAGUCAGGGAGGGCUGUGGGUAAAUUGUUUUUUAAAAGAAAGCAAGUGGGGGCUGGGGAUGUGGCU